Long non-coding RNA from Hypanus sabinus (Atlantic stingray), 445 nucleotides. RefSeq lists it as uncharacterized. Lineage: Eukaryota; Metazoa; Chordata; Chondrichthyes; Myliobatiformes; Dasyatidae. The record is from RefSeq and is a predicted model, not a curated record. The transcript has 3 exons.
AUUUAACAUCAGUGACUUCACUUCAAACUACAUCGCUGGCCAUGAGGUGUUUUGGGAGAACUGAAGGUCACAAAGAGUUUGAAAUCAUGUUCUAAUGAGCUCUACAGCAGUGCUGGAGAAAGGAUAUCCUUAUUGGAUGGAGCAUGAAGUACUAAUAAAGUGACCACAUGAUGCAGCCACUUUGUAGAUUUAUCUCGGUUCCUUCUUCUUCUGCCAGAUUUUGUUCCUUAUUCUCAAACCAGCUUUGGCUGAGCAACAUGCAGCCUGAGCCUCCUGUGUUUCCUGUGGCAGAGGGAAGUGUUGGUCUGCAGUCAGUGGAAAAUCUGGGUGAUGAUGCUUCAUGGUAAGCCUUGAAUGUAUCACAGCAAUGAAUCGGAGUUUUGACUCCAGCAUUGGUGCAGGACCUGGAGGUUGUCCAGACCUUCCAAGUGUUAGUCUAUGCGGG